RNAcentral lists this ribosomal RNA (874 nucleotides) under uncultured bacterium. Its description in RNAcentral is "bacterial SSU rRNA". It matches the Rfam family "Bacterial small subunit ribosomal RNA", at positions 31 to 876 of the family's 1533-position model. The record is from RNAcentral.
AAACGCUGGCGGCGUGCCUAACACAUGCAAGUCGAACGAGAAAGCCUUAAUCUUCGGAUGGGCGAGUAAAGUGGCGUACGGGUGAGUAACGCGUAGGUAACCUACCCCCGGGACUGGGAUAACAGUGCGAAAGUGCUGCUAAUACCGGAUACGAUGGCAGAGCGGGAGCUUUGCGAUGAAAGUCAGCCUCUCCAUGGAAGCUGGCGUUCGGGGAUGGGCCUGCGUCCUAUCAGCUAGUUGGCAGGGUAACGGCCUACCAAGGCGACGACGGGUAGCUGGUCUGAGAGGAUGAUCAGCCACACUGGCACUGGAACACGGGCCAGACUCCUACGGGAGGCAGCAGUGAGGAAUUUUGCGCAAUGGCCGCAAGGCUGACGCAGCAACGCCGCGUGGGUGAAGAAGGCCUUCGGGUCGUAAAGCCCUGUCAGGUGGGAAGAACACCAUGGGGAUGAAUAAGCUUCAUGGCUGACGGUACCACCAGAGGAAGCACCGGCUAACUCCGUGCCAGCAGCCGCGGUAAUACGGAGGGUGCGAGCGUUAUUCGGAAUUACUGGGCGUAAAGCGCGUGCAGGCGGUUUGGCAAGUCUGAUGUGAAAGCCCCGGGCUUAACCCGGGGAGUGCAUUGGAAACUGCCGGACUUGAGUACUGGAGAGGAAGGGGGAAUUCCCGGUGUAGAGGUGAAAUUCGUAGAGAUCGGGAGGAAUACCAGUGGCGAAGGCGCCCUUCUGGACGGUUACUGACGCUGAGACGCGAAAGCGUGGGGAGCAAACAGGAUUAGAUACCCUGGUAGUCCACGCUGUAAACGGUGAGCACUAGGUGUAGCGGGUACUCAUUCCUGCUGUGCCGCAGCUAACGCGUUAAGUGCUCCGCCUGG